GUCUACGGACAUGCUACCCUGAACAAGCCCCAUCUAGUCUGAUCUCAGAAGCUAAGCAGGGUCGGGCCUGGUUAGUACUUGGAUGGGAGACCACCUAGGAAGACCAGGUGCUGUAGGCA
Molecule: ribosomal RNA, 119 nt
Filed under: Pteropus alecto (black flying fox)
Lineage: Eukaryota; Metazoa; Chordata; Mammalia; Chiroptera; Pteropodidae
Source: RNAcentral